Molecule: ribosomal RNA, 519 nt
Filed under: Segatella copri
Lineage: Bacteria; Pseudomonadati; Bacteroidota; Bacteroidia; Bacteroidales; Prevotellaceae
Description: bacterial SSU rRNA
Rfam family: Bacterial small subunit ribosomal RNA
Source: RNAcentral
ACAAUGGAGAGUUUGAUCCUGGCUCAGGAUGAACGCUAGCUACAGGCUUAACACAUGCAAGUCGAGGGGAAACGAUAUUGGAAGCUUGCUUCCGAUAGGCGUCGACCGGCGCACGGGUGAGUAACGCGUAUCCAACCUGCCCACCACUUGGGGAUAACCUUGCGAAAGUAAGACUAAUACCCAAUGACGUCUCUAGAAGACAUCUGAAAGAGAUUAAAGAUUUAUCGGUGAUGGAUGGGGAUGCGUCUGAUUAGCUUGUUGGCGGGGUAACGGCCCACCAAGGCGACGAUCAGUAGGGGUUCUGAGAGGAAGGUCCCCCACAUUGGAACUGAGACACGGUCCAAACUCCUACGGGAGGCAGCAGUGAGGAAUAUUGGUCAAUGGGCGAGAGCCUGAACCAGCCAAGUAGCGUGCAGGAUGACGGCCCUAUGGGUUGUAAACUGCUUUUAUAAGGGAAUAAAGUGAGUCUCGUGAGACUUUUUGCAUGUACCUUAUGAAUAAGGACCGGCUAAUUCCGUG